This 429-nucleotide ribosomal RNA is filed under the name Chloroflexota bacterium. RNAcentral's name for it is "Chloroflexi bacterium partial 16S ribosomal RNA". It matches the Rfam family "Bacterial small subunit ribosomal RNA", at positions 355 to 776 of the family's 1533-position model. Lineage: Bacteria; Bacillati; Chloroflexota. The record is from RNAcentral.
UGGGGAAUAUUGCACAAUGGGCGCAAGCCUGAUGCAGCCAUGCCGCGUGUGUGAAGAAGGCCUUCGGGUUGUAAAGCACUUUCAGCGGGGAGGAAGGCGUUAAGGUUAAUAACCUUGGCGAUUGACGUUACCCGCAGAAGAAGCACCGGCUAACUCCGUGCCAGCAGCCGCGGUAAUACGGAGGGUGCAAGCGUUAAUCGGAAUUACUGGGCGUAAAGCGCACGCAGGCGGUCUGUCAAGUCGGAUGUGAAAUCCCCGGGCUCAACCUGGGAACUGCAUUCGAAACUGGCAGGCUGGAGUCUUGUAGAGGGGGGUAGAAUUCCAGGUGUAGCGGUGAAAUGCGUAGAGAUCUGGAGGAAUACCGGUGGCGAAGGCGGCCCCCUGGACAAAGACUGACGCUCAGGUGCGAAAGCGCGGGGAGCAAACAGG